Entelurus aequoreus (snake pipefish) is the source of this 1412-nucleotide long non-coding RNA. RefSeq lists it as uncharacterized. The record is from RefSeq and is a predicted model, not a curated record. Lineage: Eukaryota; Metazoa; Chordata; Actinopteri; Syngnathiformes; Syngnathidae. The transcript is spliced from 4 exons.
GGGGGACAAGUGUGUUCCUCUUUAGGGGACGUACAGCAAGUUGUUUCCCACACGUAUCUUGCUUCACUGGCCUCUUGUCCAAUGAUAACCUGAUUUAUCUCCUGCAGGAGUCCAUCAUCCAGUUGAAGAGCACCCAUCAGCUGCAGGGAAGGUACAAAACAUGAGCACAUGGACAGCAGCCUCAGAGGUAACAUCAGCAAUCAAUAUAAUCCCUCGGCUUCUGUUGGCAGAGUGUCAUCCUGACGGACUUCCUUACCCUGGAGGGUCCGUGGGGCUCAUCCCCCCACCCCCUCCUCCUCGCAGUGGUACUCCUGGCCAUGCUCGUGGGGCAGAGGAUAGGAGCCUGACUGGGGCAGCAUGUCCUGCGAGGUGCUCGUCACGCCGUUGUUGUCACACUGCGAGUACUGGGAACUCAGGGAACUGGGUGUGGCCAGGCCCUGGACCUCGCCACUGAAGGGACUCUGGCUGGAGCCCACUCUUUGACGCACGGUACUGCGAGAUCAUUUGGUCUGUGGCUGUGUAUAAAUGUUAUGGGAAGAGGGUCGGACCACCCCUACGACUUUUCUCAUAUUGGCUGACCCACAAUGUGUGUGUGUUAGCUGCAGCAACAGAGGUAAGGCAUAAGUCACGAAACCAGAUUCUAUCCUUAGAAAUAGUGUUUUGCACUCACUCCAUCUCUCAUGCGGGCGGAAUAAUAUACAAAUACAGUACUGGUAUAGACAUCUCACACAAGCUUAAUCACCGCAACCCAAUGCUCACAACAGGCUUGUGUUAGAGGGAAUGAGACAGGAUGUUGGUCAUCACACUGCUGUAUUGUGUUUCUUUGACAUUUAAGAAAGUCGCAGAUCAAUGGAAGUGAUGGAUCGGUGAUAAAAUGUGGAAUCUGUGUUAAAGAUGCUUAGUUUUGUUGGACACGGUCAGAGAGACAUUCAUUUGUGUAUUAUAUAACCAAUAUAAACAUCAACAGUUUAUUGCAGUGAAGUUGCUAUACAACCACAAUAAUAAACAUAUUUUAUAAUCAUAUUCGACAAAAACUAUUAUGACAAGAUUGUGCAGGUGUACCUAAUAAAAGGUCCCGGGACACUCACCUUUGCAUUCUGGACAUGCGAUGCAGUUCCAUGUCAUCACUUCCCCGGAAGCCUUUGGCAAAGGGGUUGUUCUCAAUUUUAAGUUGGGUUAUCUACAAAAAAAUAAAUAAUAAUAAUAAAUGUGACAUCAGUAAUAGACUGCAACUUAUGAACAAGUCCACAUUAAAUCACUUAUUAAUAUUAAUACCAUUUAGUAUGUUACAACAGGACUACUUUGCAGAUAUGUUUGUUAAAUCAAUAUGUGUUUGUAUGUCUGAUAUUUGAUUUCUAGGUUCCUUCCUUUCACUUUUCCCUGUCCAGACUCUAAGUUUUGUCUGCACGCUG